GCGGUCGGGUUUCAUCACUGUUAGGACGAGGUUCUCCUUUCGUUCCUGACGUAAUCGAUCUCAGCUCAGGUUAGGACGAGGUUCUCCUCCUGUUCCCAACAGGGCCGCGCGGGCACAUAAGGGCCAUCGCAAGGGUCUCUCCCCCCAUCCGGUCUAAAAGAAUCGGGCCUUCGACUUUGCUCAUGUCAGGAUGAGGUUCUCCUCCUGUUCCUGACAUGGCUGUGGGGGUGC
RNAcentral lists this long non-coding RNA (231 nucleotides) under Elaeis guineensis (African oil palm). RNAcentral's name for it is "long non-coding RNA (EGUI_LNC060011)". Lineage: Eukaryota; Viridiplantae; Streptophyta; Magnoliopsida; Arecales; Arecaceae. The record is from RNAcentral.